Molecule: ribosomal RNA, 447 nt
Filed under: uncultured bacterium
Lineage: Bacteria
Description: bacterial SSU rRNA
Rfam family: Bacterial small subunit ribosomal RNA
Source: RNAcentral
AGCGAACGCUGGCGGCAGGCCUAACACAUGCAAGUCGAACGAACUCUUCGGAGUUAGUGGCGGACGGGUGAGUAACACGUGGAACGUGCCUUUAGGUUCGGAAUAACUCAGGGAAACUUGUGCUAAUACCGAAUGUGCCCUUCGGGGAAAGAUUUAUCGCCUUUAGAGCGGCCCGCGUCUGAUUAGCUAGUUGGUGAGGUAAAGGCUCACCAAGGCGACGAUCAGUAGCUGGUCUGAGAGGAUGAUCAGCCACAUUGGGACUGAGACACGGCCCAAACUCCUACGGGAGGCAGCAGUGGGGAAUCUUGCGCAAUGGGCGAAAGCCUGACGCAGCCAUGCCGCGUGAAUGAUGAAGGUCUUAGGAUUGUAAAAUCUUUCACCGGGGACGAUAAUGACGGUACCCGGAGAAGAAGCCCCGGCUAACUUCGUGCCAGCAGCCGCGGUAAU